Molecule: non-coding RNA, 794 nt
Filed under: Bradysia sp. XQM-2020
Lineage: Eukaryota; Metazoa; Arthropoda; Insecta; Diptera; Sciaridae
Source: RNAcentral
AUAAAGUUUUAUUUUAGCUUAAUAAAUUUAUUUUUAAUUUAUUUUACAUAUAAGUUUUUGUAUUUGUUAAUUAAAAUUUUUAAAAAAAAUAAUUAUAUUUUAAUUAUAAGUAGUAAUUGGUAUUAAUUUUUAAAGGAAACUUUGAAUUAGUAAUUUAUUUAAUAUUAGUAAAAAUUGUGCCAGCAUCUGCGGUUAUACAAUUAAUAUAAGUAAAUUUUUUUUUAAUUAAAGUUAAAAGUGGGUUUAUGUUUUAAAUAUUACUUAAAUUUAUAAAGUUAAAUUUUUAAUUUAUAAAAGUUUAUGAUUAAUAUUUUUUAAGCUUGAAAAUUUUAUUAAUAAACUAGGAUUAGAUACCCUAUUAUUUAAAAUGUACAGAUAAAAGAUUGUAUUAGUAUUAGUUAUGAUCUUGAAAAUAAAUAAAUUUGGCGGUAUUUUAUUCUAUUCAGAGGAACUUGUUUUAUAAUUGAUGGUACACAUUAAAUCUUACUUAAUUUAUUAAAAUUUGUAUACCGUCGUCAUAAGAAUAUCUUAAAAAAGAAUAAAUAUUCUAAAAUUAAAAAUAUAAAUUAUGUCAGAUCAAGGUGCAGUUUAUAAUUAAGCAAAAAUGAGUUACAAUAAUAUAAUUUAUAUGGAUAUUUUAUUUAAAUAUAAAAUUGAAAGUGGAUUUGAGAGUAAAUUAAGAGAUAUAAAUUAAUUGAUUAUAGUUUUAAAAUAUGCACAUAUCGCCCGUCGCUCUUAUUUAUAGAUAAGAUAAGUCGUAACAUAGUAAAAGUACUGGAAAGUGUUUUUAGAUU